CUCAAGAUGAUCUUGGCUUUGUCAUCGCCCUUAGGUGAAGUUCAGUUCCUUGGCCCGAGCUUCAGCACCUCCUCGCUCAGUCUCCAGUACAGUUCUCUCCGUUCCCCACCAGCACAUGCCCCUCCUGUCUUGCUGAGCUUUGUUCUUCACCUAUGCGGGGCUACUCUCAGCUCCUGCCAUGGAACCCCCCUUUCCUCCCUCUGCUUUACCCCAUAGCCCUGUGCUUUGGAUUGUUGCUUCUAGGAAGUAUUUUCAAAUCUGGAUUUAUAGCCCUUGCUGUGUGGACCUGCAGUGCCCAGUAUUUGCCCAAUUGUGACAUUUAUGAAGCAGCUUUUUAAUCGCUUGCUUACUUGUCUCUUUCCUCUAAUAGACUGUGAGUUCUGUGGUGACAGAAACCAAGUGUAACCUGUUUACCAUUUGAUUCCCAGCACCUGGCAUAGUGCCUGAAAUGUAGUAGGUAUUUAUUGAUACUUAGAUCCAUAGAUAUGUGAAGUACUUAUUCCUAUGUCGAACACAUAAUACUCAAUAAAUGAUGGUAGUUUUUAUUGUUUACCGCCAUAUACAACAGCUGCAACUAUUAUUCUAUCCAUUUUUUUUACUAACUCUCUAAGAAGCAAUGAGAUCAAAAGCUGGUUUAUAGUGAUGUGAAGAGCAACUUCAAGGAGAGGAAUUGGAGACCAAGCAAAGAUGAAUUUGUUAAAAUGGUUGACUGAAAAAAUACCUUCAUUGAAAAGGUGGUAGUCAGAGAAUCAGUAAAGUCAAAGGAAGGUAUUUGUCAAUGAUGAAGGAAUACUGGACAUGUACAUGGGUUGAAGAAGCGAGUCCAACCUGAAGAUACAGGUGUGGAGUUGGAUCAGUUCUCCAAGCAGGAGGAUUGAUCUUGCACCUGAGGAAAGAAGGCAUCUUACAUAAUAAGGGGAAAAUCGAAGGGAUGGGGUUGCUGGAAUAUGUGCAGGGGUCUGGGAGGAAAAUGAAGGCAAUGCUGAGGGUAAUACAAGCAUGUUUAAUUCUGUUGUGUGAAAGGUAUCUUUUAAGCAAACCAAUUACCCUCUUUUUCUCUUUCAGCUGUUCGGGGGUCUUGUCUGGAUUUUGGUUGCCUCCUCCAAUGUUCCUCUACCUCUACUACAAGGAUGGGUCAUGUUUGUGUCCGUGACAGCGUUUUUCUUUUCGCUCCUCUUUCUGGGCAUGUUCCUCUCUGGCAUGGUGGCUCAAAUUGAUGCUAACUGGAACUUCCUGGAUUUUGCCUACCAUUUUACAGUAUUUGUCUUCUAUUUUGGAGCCUUUUUAUUGGAAGCAGCAGCCACAUCCCUGCAUGAUUUGCAUUGCAAUACAACCAUAACCGGGCAGCCACUCCUGAGUGAUAACCAGUAUAACAUAAACGUAGCAGCCUCAAUUUUUGCCUUUAUGACGACAGCUUGUUAUGGUUGCAGUUUGGGUCUGGCUUUACGAAGAUGGCGACCGUAACACUCCUUAGAAACUGGCAGUCGUAUGUUAGUUUCACUUGUCUACUUUAUAUGUCUGAUCAAUUUGGAUACCAUUUUGUCCAGAUGCAAAAACAUUCCAAAAGUAAUGUGUUUAGUAGAGAGAGACUCUAAGCUCAAGUUCUGGUUUAUUUCAUGGAUGGAAUGUUAAUUUUAUUAUGAUAUUAAAGAAAUGGCCUUUUAUUUUACAUCUCUCCCCUUUUUCCCUUUCCCCCUUUAUUUUCCUCCUUUUCUUUCUGAAAGUUUCCUUUUAUGUCCAUAAAAUAC
Molecule: long non-coding RNA, 1748 nt
Filed under: Homo sapiens (human)
Lineage: Eukaryota; Metazoa; Chordata; Mammalia; Primates; Hominidae
Description: long non-coding RNA NONHSAT216315.1
Source: RNAcentral